GCUGGCGGUGUGCUUCACACAUGCAAGUCGAACGAGGUAGCAAUACACUAGUGGCGGACGGGUGAGUAACGCGUGGGAAUCUGCCUUUAGAUGGGGGAUAACGAGCCGAAAGGUUCGCUAAUACCGCAUAUGCCGUAAGGUGAAAGGAGUAAUCCGUCUAGAGAUGAGCCCGCGUCCGAUUAGCUAGUUGGUAGGGUAAAGGCCUACCAAGGCGACGAUCGGUAGCUGGUCUGAGAGGAUGAUCAGCCACAAUGGGACUGAGACACGGCCCAUACUCCUACGGGAGGCAGCAGUGGGGAAUUUUACGCAAUGGGGGAAACCCUGACGUAGCGACACCGCGUGAGCGAAGAAGCCCCUUGGGGUGUAAAGCUCUGUCGGCUGGAACGAAAAAAAUGACGGUACCAGCAAAGGAAGCAUCGGCUAACUACGUGCCAGCAGCCGCGGUAAGACGUAGGAUGCAAGCGUUGUCCGGAUUUAUUGGGCGUAAAGAGUUCGUAGGUGGUUUGUCAAGUCUGAUGUUAAAGAUCGGGGCUCAACCCUGGGACUGCAUUGGAUACUGGCAGACUUGAGUAUGGUAGAGGCUAGUGGAAUUCCCAGUGUAGCAGUGAAAUGCGUAGAUAUUGGGAAGAACACCGGUGGCGUAGGCGACUAGCUGGGCCAUAACUGACACUGAGGAACGAAAGCCAGGGGAGCGAAUGGGAUUAGAUACCCCAGUAGUCCUGGCUGUAAACGAUGGAUACUAGGCGUAUCGGGUAUCGACCCCUGAUGUGCCGCAGCUAACGCGAUAAGUAUCCCGCCUGAGUAGUACGGCCG
Molecule: ribosomal RNA, 813 nt
Filed under: uncultured bacterium
Lineage: Bacteria
Description: bacterial SSU rRNA
Rfam family: Bacterial small subunit ribosomal RNA
Source: RNAcentral